This is a small nucleolar RNA of Humulus lupulus (European hop), 107 nucleotides long. The record is from RefSeq and is a predicted model, not a curated record. NCBI's taxonomy places the organism in Eukaryota, Viridiplantae, Streptophyta, Magnoliopsida, Rosales, Cannabaceae.
AUACUAUGAUGAAGGCACUUCCUUAACAACUCUUUAAAUCUCUCCCAUGCAUCAUAUAAUGAUUCCCCUUCCAUAUGGUAGAAAUUAUUAAUUUGCCCUCUCAACUU